UAAUGGGAGUUACAAUUUUA
This 20-nucleotide non-coding RNA is filed under the name Arabidopsis thaliana (thale cress). The record is from RNAcentral. Lineage: Eukaryota; Viridiplantae; Streptophyta; Magnoliopsida; Brassicales; Brassicaceae.